Pogoniulus pusillus (Red-fronted tinkerbird) is the source of this 708-nucleotide long non-coding RNA. RefSeq lists it as uncharacterized. The transcript is spliced from 4 exons. The record is from RefSeq and is a predicted model, not a curated record. Lineage: Eukaryota; Metazoa; Chordata; Aves; Piciformes; Lybiidae.
GGGGCAGGUAUGAUGGAAAAGGGGAGGUGCUGUGGAAGAGGAUGGUGAUGAAAAGAGAAGGAUGGAGAAAAAGCCGGCACAGUGUGAUUUAAGAUCUCCAGCUGGACCAUUAUCCUAGAAGCUGCCAUCAGCUGUAGAGGUGAACUCCAAAUGAAAGAUCACACAAAAGGGACCUAGAAGUAAGCAGAUGGCUUUUAGAACUGGAACUACAAGCAAAAAAUUACCAGCAAGUCACAGCUGUGCUGGACCACAUGAGCAGCUGCAUUGCCCCAUACAUCUAAGGAUGCACUUACAGAGUCUCUAAAAUGACUGCGCAUUUGUCUAUGUGCAUCUCCAGGAAUGAGAAACACAGAGAAGGAUGAUGCUGAAAUGUGUCCUCCAGCUCCUGCAAGUCAUUGUCAAGUGCUCAGAGCCAGCCUCUCAGAUCGACUGGCGGAUGACAUGCCUGGCUGGGCUGAGGCACUCAAAUCGACGCUUCCCCAGGGUGCUGCUCCUGAUGGAGUUUGCAGCAGGAGCUAAAAGCCGCAUACAGAUAACUCUUCCUUCCCCCUGCUUCCUUCCCCCUUCCUUCCUUUCAGCAAUUCAGGGAGAAGAGGGUGAAGAAAAUGGCACUUGGAUUAAAUAAAAUAACAAGCAGCACACAGGGCUUUUAGCUGUAAGUGAGCCAAGUGUCCUGUAACAUUAAAUAAAUGCAAGAUUAACCUUCAA